CCAUGAGUAAAGUGGCGACCGGGGUGAGUAACACGUGACUAACCUACCUUCGAGUGGGGGAUAACCUCGGGAAACCGAGGCUAAUACCGCAUAACAUCGCAAGAUCAAAGCAGCAAUGCGCUGGAAGAGGGGGUCGCGGCUGAUUAGCCAGUUGGCGGGGUAACGGCCCACCAAAGCGAAGAUCGGUAGCCGGCCUGAGAGGGCGCACGGCCACACUGGAACUGAAACACGGUCCAG
RNAcentral lists this ribosomal RNA (237 nucleotides) under uncultured bacterium. RNAcentral's name for it is "partial 16S ribosomal RNA". It matches the Rfam family "Bacterial small subunit ribosomal RNA", at positions 104 to 334 of the family's 1533-position model. The record is from RNAcentral.